Molecule: long non-coding RNA, 1365 nt
Filed under: Mytilus galloprovincialis (Mediterranean mussel)
Lineage: Eukaryota; Metazoa; Mollusca; Bivalvia; Mytilida; Mytilidae
Source: RNAcentral
UAUAUAUCAGUAUAUACCAAUGCGCUUUACAUCAGUAUGAAACUAAAUAUCAACAGUCACUUUAUUUAUCACAUAAGAAGAUAAAGACACUAUAAACACAAGCAGUUACUUUAGUUAUUAAAUGGAAUAUCAGAGACAAAUAAAAGACUUUCACUAUACUUGGCUGUAUCGUCGAUAAUUUGUCUAACAAUGGUGUUUGCCUUUUUGGAUUUCAAAUUCACUUUGAUUCCACGAAAAGCGUACAAUUCAGGACCUGUUGAAGAAUACGAUUAUGUUCUUCAAUUUGAAGACAUAUUUAACGAUACAAUAAGAAAAACAAAGAAAAUACUAGUAUGGACACCAUUUUUCAAAACAGUAAAAAAUGAGCCAAAGGAAUAAAUAAUGAUUUAAAAAAGUGUAAUUAUGCUUGUACAGCCAACCAUAAUCGAGGGAAUCAUCCGCUUAGUGACGCCAUUAUAUUUCAUGACGCUGAUAUAGACAUUAAUGAUAUGCCAGGCCUAAGAAUUCGUCGACAGUCAUGGAUUUUAUAUACUCUUGAACCCACAGCCUUGAUAAAAAAGAAUUACAAUUGAAUGAACGGGAUGUUCAAUUGGACUAUUUCCUACCGGAACUAUUCUACUAUUCUUGGCGCCUAUGGAGGUUAUAUGCCUAAAAGCAUGAAUAAACCAAUGCCACCGCUUGUGUCUUAAUAAAACAAAAACAAAACCAUGUAUGCAUCUAUAAGUAAUUGCCAUGAUGCUGGGAGACGAUUUAAAUUGAUAAAAGAGAUUAUAAAAUACAUUGAUGUGAAAUUGUUCGGUCGCUGCGGUGAUUGAAAGUGGACUAAUUUUGGUGGUCCAUGCCAUCCAAAAGAAAUAUUGAAUUUAUAUAAAUUUAGACGUCUAGCUUUUGAACAUUCUAAUUGUCGGCAUUACGUGACAGAGAAUACUUUGGCGGAGAGUGAUACUAUUCAAAUUGUUAACUGGAUUAAAGGGCAAAUAAACCCAACUGUAAUACCAAAUUCGUAUAUAAAUUGCUUUGACUUCAAAAACAUAAGUGAUUUUGUUAAUUAUAUAGAGAAAGUUGGUGCAAAUGAGACUCUUUUCAACAGUAUUUUGAAUGGAAGAAAAAAUAUGAAUUUGGGAAAUCUGACUCAGAUUAUUGCAAGCUAUGUGAAAAACUGCACAAACCAUACAAAUCUCAGGUAUAUACAGACCUCGGGGGAUGGUUCAAAGAAGAGACAUGUACUAAAUACAGCGUAUACUUAUUAUUACUUCGAAUAACUGUGGAGUAAUGAGACAGUAGCCAAAACAACACAAAAAUAAAAGCCGUUUAGAGGUCUAUUGUUCUAUACGGAACAUUCGUUUCCUGUUCUGGUAAUUCAAA